CGCUGAGAGGAACUCCUCCGUCAUUCUGAUGCGUUAAUCAGCAUUCAAACAUGUUUAAGUCAUGUAAUUCAAGUGUUUAUGUUUUGAUGAGCCUCGGAUUACUGUUGAUAUCUGCUGGAGCUUUCACCGAUUCUGAUUGUGAUUAUCCGGAGAUCGUCUCAAGUUCGUUGACUCGGAGAAGGAUUCCACGAGACUUGAGCACCUGUCCCUUGCCACCGCCGGUUCGGAAUGGGCAUUGGGAGAUAUAUUCUUCCCUGUGUGCGAAUAAGAAACACUGUAACAUCAGCCUAGAGCCAGAACAGUUAACUAUGAAUGCAGACACGAAAUUAGUGUAUUUUUGUGAUAAUGGCUAUCGUCUGUUGGGCAACGGACAUGUUAACUGUACCGAUGGGGGCAUUUGGUCGCCUGUUCCACGAUGUGCAGCUUGUGGAACAAGUUUCCCGGAAGACAUCAGAACCUCUUCAGUAAGUGGAUCCUCGAUCCAUUUGAUGAACCCCCCAUGGCACACAUCAAUAUACCGAAUCAACUCUACCAAUAGCAAGACAAUAUUUAUUUGCGGAGCAACGAUAAUUACAGAUGAGUUAUUAAUCACCGGCGCUCACUGUAUGUUCAAUGAAGAAACUCGUGAACUGGAAAACCCCAGUGAAUUCUUCAUUAAAGCCGCAAAUGAAAGGGCUUUACGACUACAUGUGAAGAAAAUUUAUAAAAAUUGUAAUUAUCGGGGGGUAGCAGACGAGCACGAUAAUGACGUUGCAAUUCUUGAAAUAGAACCACGUCUCAUGUUCACGCCAAACUUAUUCCCAAUCUGUUUCGAGGAGAAUGCAAAAUCCCCGGAACCGGGUGAAUAUGGGCUGAUAGCAGGAUUUGAGAACCCGAAAGGCAAAAGUUCCCGACCGAUUCUUAAAAAAUCACUAGUGCCAUUCUUACCCAAAAAUGACUGCAUUCGACAGAGUGCAAUUUUUAGUGCUCAAGCUUUUGUUACCGGAGAUAAAUUCUGCACUGGAUACGCAAACGGCUCUGCUGUAUGCUCUGGAGACAGCGGAAGUGGUCUAGCAUUCAAAAAGGAUAAUCUGUGGUACCUCCGAGGCAUCUUGAGCGUCAUAAUCAGAAUUGAUUCCACUGAAAAUGCGAGGACGUGUGAUAACCAUAAGUCUACAUUGUAUACAGACGUAUCGCAUCACAUAUCAUGGAUACAAGACAUUAUUCUUCGGGUGGAAAAGGGGAAAACUAUUCCAGAGUGCCCACCAGUUAUCCCAUUUCGAGAAACGCCCUUGGGGUAUACUGGAGCUGAACAUGCAUCCCCCUUUCCUAAUCAAUGCUCUGCGUAUCUAUUUCGGUGCAACGACGGUGCUUGCGUCGGUCGCAGAGCCAUUUGUGAUGGAAAAACUGAUUGCGUUGACGGGAGUGACGAGACGUUGCCAAGCUGCGGUGGUUGCAAUGCGACGGAAUUCAAAUGUAGUACGGGUCAGUGCAUCGAUAAAUACAAGGUCUGUGAUGGAUCAUUAGAUUGCCCUGACAAAUCUGAUGAGACCGCCGGGAUUUGCAUAGGAUAUGAAGACUUGGAAACAACAACUAAAUCAUCAGAGAAAAGGCACCGAACCAAGCCAACACCCCAGAGGGGUUGUUCACGACCUCCAGAGGUUCGGAAUGGUUACUGGAAGCUGCACUCCUCCCAAUGCCCGAGUAGUAGCGACCACUGCGAGCCUCGAGAGGGGGUGCACAUGGUCCCCGGAACGCAUCUAGUAUAUAUUUGUAAUAAUGGGUACCAUUUGACGAAUGUUCAGGAUGUUUACUGUGCCACUGACGGAAGUUGGUCGGUUAUUCCACAAUGCGAAGAAAUUCACUGCAAAGUACUGGAUACGCCAUCAACGAAAGCUGAUUGCAGCCGUAACGGUCAAUGGACAUCUUGUGCGAUACCAGUGCUGCCAGGAACUCAAGCACAUUUAUCUUGCCGCAGCGCUUAUCGUCGGGAGGAUUCAGUCUGGCAACGAAAUCAUGUCACAUGUAAUACACAAGGGCUGUGGGAACCAGAGGCAAUACAAUGCAUUCCAGUGUGUGGAACUAAACCGUCAAAAUCAGUGAAACCCCUGAUAGUGGAUGGAUUUCAGCCGAAUAUAACCGACUUUCCUUGGCAUGCAACGCUAUAUGAGACAAAUUCUGAGAAAGUGAAAAAAUUCAUCUGUGGAGCUACAGUAAUCACAGAGAAUUUAUUAAUAACAGCUGCUCACUGUAUAUUCGAUGAAGGGACUAAAAAGUCGAAGAAACCCGAAAAGUUUUUAAUUUCUGUUGGAAAUAUCUUCAGGGACUAUGACAUGGAGUAUCCCCCACAAAUAGAAGUUAGAAAAGCAAAAGUAAUAAACAUCUACAUGAACUGUGAUUAUCAAGGAUACAGGGGUAAUCACGACCAAGACAUUGCGAUUCUUCGAGUAGAGCCUUCCCUCGAUUUCAAAUCUUACUUGGUGCCAAUAUGUCUCGAUACGACAGUAAGAAGUCUCGCCAUUGAUAUAGGUACACUUGGACAAGUAGCGGGAUUUGGUAGAACAGCAACAGGAUCCUCCAGUUCGAUAAUUCGGGCACUAUCAGUGCCAGUGGUGCCUAAGAACAAAUGCAUUGAACAGGCUGACGAGGUGAAUGGUCGAAAUUUCAUCACUCCGGAUAAAUUCUGUGCUGGAUAUACAAACGGAUCAUCUGUAUGUAAUGGAGAUAGUGGAGGUGGAUUGAUAUUCGAAACAAAUAGAUUGUCGUACCUUCGUGGUAUUGUGAGCAGUGGCAUUGGAGUAGAUGAUACCGAUGCUGAAGCAACUUGUGAUAAUAAUCGAUACACCAUAUAUACAGAAGUAGCGUUCCACAUAUCAUGGAUACAAGACAUAAUGUUCAAGAAACUCGACUUUAUUUCGACAUCUACGACUUUUCCUGUCAACUGGCCAAUCAGACUUGAAACACCAAAUAAUCAUUGGAGGCCUCUUUUUUACCACGUCCCCGUAUAUAUAUAGACGACUUGCAAAUCAUGCUCAUCGAAGCUGAAAGCAGCCUAGUGGACGAACGACAGAUUUUGGGCUUUGUUGACGAUAGACAGCGCAGUCAUAAGGAACGAUUAAACGCAAGGCUGGCGGUUGUUAAUGAAUAUUAUGAAUUGUUAAGGACCAAAUGAAGAUCGGAAAAUGUUCAGAGGAACAUAGCAAAGGAUGCCGUAAAUUAUUCGAUGGGACGAUUGACCGGUUGCGCAAGCGGUGGUUCAGUAGAACAGACGCAUGCAACAAGAAUGGCAACGAUUAUAAAAGAGUCCUAACGGAUUACAUUAACGAACAUGAGCCGAGACUAGAGAGAUUUCAAUCGCAACUUGUAAAUUUACUGGAGUCAUGGUCCAAGAAUAGUGACAGUGAGGAGUGUUCCCGAGGAUACGAUAAAUUGUCCCUCGACGUUAAAAAUUGGAGAACAAAACUAGACCAGCAGUGGAGGAGUCUACCGAAUCUAUCUGACGUUCUGGAUCAAAAUAGAAAAUGCAUGCAGGCAUCAUUCAAAGAUUUUGAAGGUCACCUUCGUAAUUUUAUACCCACUUUAUUGAACUGCGCGAAAUGCAGACCCAUUGAAACGCAGACACUCCAUUGAUAUGCGUGACAUCAUCAUUCGAAAAAUUGGAGGAAGUACCUUGGCAAUUUCACACACUCUAUUGAACUAUUUAUGAGUUCAACUGGAGAUGCCAGACAGUUCGAACUUGCGUGUUUGUUCCUGUUCAGUUUUUCAUCAUAACCCUUCGUGUUCCUCUUCCACCCGUUUCCAAUAAGCCUCUAUUCCCGUAAAUCCCUCCCAAUUUCCCUUUUCUCCGCUUCCGAGAUACGUGAAAAGGUUACUCUGUUUAUUGGCUCUCCGAUAAUUGUAUCUCUGUCAAAUUAUAGAAAACCAUUAUGAAGUGAAUGGAGUGAAUAUUGAGGAAUAAAAUGAACAAUAAUGUUUGUUACAUCCCAUGGAGAAUUGUGAAUUGUGUGAUGGAUUUUUUAAUUAAUUAUUCAAGUUAAUUCAUGUAGUUUGAAGGAA
RNA transcript from Diachasma alloeum, 4035 nucleotides. It is a transcript of the gene named modular serine protease, with no coding region annotated. Lineage: Eukaryota; Metazoa; Arthropoda; Insecta; Hymenoptera; Braconidae. The transcript is spliced from 14 exons. The record is from RefSeq and is a predicted model, not a curated record.